GAUGAACGCUGGCGGCGUGCUUAACACAUGCAAGUCGAACGAAGCAUUUAGAACAGAUUACUUCGGUUUGAAGUUCUUUAUGACUGAGUGGCGGACGGGUGAGUAACGCGUGGGUAACCUGCCUUGUACUGGGGGAUAGCAGCUGGAAACGGCUGGUAAUACCGCAUAAGCGCACAAUGUUGCAUGACAUGGUGUGAAAAACUCCGGUGGUAUAAGAUGGACCCGCGUCUGAUUAGCUAGUUGGUGAGAUAACAGCCCACCAAGGCGACGAUCAGUAGCCGACCUGAGAGGGUGACCGGCCACAUUGGGACUGAGACACGGCCCAGACUCCUACGGGAGGCAGCAGUGGGGAAUAUUGCACAAUGGAGGAAACUCUGAUGCAGCGACGCCGCGUGAGUGAAGAAGUAAUUCGUUAUGUAAAGCUCUAUCAGCAGGGAAGAUAGUGAUGGUACCUGACUAAGAAGCUCCGGCUAAAUACGUG
RNAcentral lists this ribosomal RNA (481 nucleotides) under uncultured bacterium. RNAcentral describes it as "partial 16S ribosomal RNA". It matches the Rfam family "Bacterial small subunit ribosomal RNA", at positions 28 to 507 of the family's 1533-position model. The record is from RNAcentral.